GGCUCUGUUGGCAAUUGUUUGUCUUGAAAACAAGUUAAGGGUGUUCGAAUCAUCCACGAGCUU
RNAcentral lists this transfer RNA (63 nucleotides) under Novaculina chinensis. RNAcentral describes it as "tRNA-Ser". Lineage: Eukaryota; Metazoa; Mollusca; Bivalvia; Adapedonta; Pharidae. The record is from RNAcentral.